Molecule: long non-coding RNA, 1862 nt
Organism: Poecilia latipinna (sailfin molly)
Lineage: Eukaryota; Metazoa; Chordata; Actinopteri; Cyprinodontiformes; Poeciliidae
Exons: 4
Source: RefSeq, a predicted model, not a curated record
GAUAGUAAAGGAGGCCAGAGCAAGAAAGGAGUGGAGGAGGGGUGUCUGGUAGACAGAGAGAAGGAAAAGGGGAGAGAGGAAGAGAGAGAGGGGGGAGGAGAGACAAGCCAAGUGUGCACAGUAUUCAUUCAAACUGACAGAGCCUGCGUGUGUGUGUCUGUGAGUGUGUGUGUCUGUCCUGGUUUGUACUUCCUAUUGCUGCUCAGUCUCUUAGCAGACAGCCUCCAGUUUAAAUCAGCGGGAGGACAACAGAGCAGAGCAAAGGAAAGGACAGAGAGUGUUAAACGACAAAGGAGGACGAAGAGGAGGAGAAGGAUGAAGAGCAGAAAGGACAGAGGAAGACAGGGUGGAAGUCCAUCAGAGUCAAAAGGAGAAUGAGGACAGAGGUGCUGCUGCUCCAGCAGAGGCUGAUGCAGAAGCAAGAUGUCCAGCCACCUGGUCCAGCAGUUCAGCUUCCUCUGUGAGAGGAAUCCUGUGCUGUGAUGAGCCAUCCAAAAGGCCAAGACCAGGUUCCUCCUGCGUGGCUCUCAUCAUGGCCGUCUCACCCUCACUGUGCUGGGUGACGGCUGAUAGUUUGCUGUCAGACUCACUUGUUCAAGUUGUGGGGAACAUUCAACGCUGUCGGUGAGUUUGUAGCUCUGGAAAAAACCAUCGACUGUUGAGUGUACCCUAACUCCUGAGUUCCCGUCGGUUUGUGUGCUGCAUCGCAGCAUCAUCUGCAACUCAAGAGCAGGCAGAGGCUUCAACCUUUGCUUCCGAAACACAGGUCCAAGGUCUAAAAUUAGCAGUGGAAUUCCAUGCAUGGUAUUUGUUGACAUGCCUAGUUAAAAUAUUUCUUCAUGCUCCUAGCUUCUAGCUCUUUUUUGCAUGUGUUUUUGUGUGCUUACUUCUAUAUUAGUCAUUAUUGUCCUCAAGUCAGAUAAGAGAUGAUUUGAGGUCAUUUCUUUCUGUUUUUAUGGUCUAUGCUGUUUUUUUUAUGUUUGUAAAGCCUCCACAUCGACCGUUAAGGAAAACCUGGCUGGGGGUUUAAUGUUCUCCACAGUCUCCUGCACUUCGAGCAUUCAAUGCACAUAGCUGUGAUUCUGCUUGAUGUGUUACCUUUUAUUUAAAAUUCUGUUUAUUUGAAUAAUUUAGUAUUUUUUAUUUUUAUUUUAUUUUCCUAAUCAAUUACUACAAUUACUUCAAUUCAAUAUAUUACUGAUAAAUUUGGUAUAAUUCAGUUCAGUUUUAUCUUUUCAUUUGUCACUUCUUUUCAUCGUUCUUUCCAAGACAGAAAGAUUCAAUUCAUAUCUGAUUGUAGAUAACAGAACUGAGUCCAAAUCCAUUACACACACACACACACACACACACACACACACACACACACACACACACACGCAUCAUGUGUAAACUCUUACAACUUCAACCUCAACAUCUUUAUGUGAAAUUAUUUUAUUGCUUCACUUGUCAAACACUUUCUGCUAUUACUUAAAUGGAAGUCAAAGUAUGUUUUUCUUUGUUUCUUUGGUAACAGUUUUUUGGAGGUUGAUGUCUUUUGCUGGUAUUUGUUAUUACAAAGGAUAACCGGCCAUGUUGAUCCUGUAGGCUGUAAGUGGUGUCCUGAUUUACGCCUGAAGGUAGGUUAUAUUUUCACUUUGCCUAACAAUGCACUAAGCCUUCUGCUACUUUACAAACCUUUCACACUGCAGGAUUCCAGUUCACAUUCAUCGCUGUCGGUGGGUUAAUGAUGCCGUCAACUCGCUGGUGGAUGAAUGUCAACUGUGUCCAUGCAAGGCGCAUAUCCCUAAUCAAGAGUUUACAUGUGCAACAUCAAAUGAUUGUAUUUCUAGGCCACUGACUAAAUAAAGACUUUGGACUGUUGA